AUGGCCAGGAUGUGCCGGCGGGCGGCCGUGACCCUGCUGGAGUGCGGGGGGGACCUCCAGCCCCCCGGGAGUUCCCUGACUCUGCUCUGCCACGGGUCUGGGUUCAAUUUUGGGAGUUUCAACAUGAUGUGGGCCCGUCAGAGCCCCGGGAAGGCGCUGGAAUUUGUCGCAGAGAUCAGCUACGGUGGUGGCAGAACCUACUACGCGCCAUCGGUCAAGGGCCGGUUCACGAUCUCGAGGGACAACGGGCAGAGCUCGGUGACGCUGACCAUGAACAGCCUCAAGGACGAGGAUUCCGCCGUUUAUUUCUGUGCCAAGGCUGCUGGUGGUUAUGCUGAUUGGGCUGGUGCUUAUGUUCAGGUGUGGGAGGACAAGUCUGACACGAGUUCCUCUGGGAAACAGAUUCCAGCAGAUACAAAUCUUAACUUUGGGCCCAGUACUAAGGACUCAGGUUCAGUCAUCAAGAUCAGAGUCAAGACUUGA
Molecule: non-coding RNA, 483 nt
Organism: Catharus ustulatus (Swainson's thrush)
Lineage: Eukaryota; Metazoa; Chordata; Aves; Passeriformes; Turdidae
Source: the annotation of a RefSeq genome assembly